GUGGAUUAGAUACCCUGGUCGUCCACGCCGUAAACGAUGAAUACUAGGUGUAGGGGGUAUCGACCCCCCCUGUGCCGCAGCUAACGCAAUAAGUAUUCCACCUGGGGAGUACGGCCGCAAGGUUGAAACUCAAAGGAAUUGACGGGGGCCCGCACAAGCAGUGGAGUAUGUGGUUUAAUUCGACGCAACGCGAAGAACCUUACCAGGGCUUGACAUCCUCUGACGACGCAAGAGAUUGCGUUUUCCCUUCGGGGACAGAGAGACAGGUGGUGCACGGUUGUCGUCAACU
Molecule: ribosomal RNA, 289 nt
Filed under: uncultured bacterium
Lineage: Bacteria
Description: partial 16S ribosomal RNA
Rfam family: Bacterial small subunit ribosomal RNA
Source: RNAcentral